Non-coding RNA from Neoarius graeffei (lesser salmon catfish), 443 nucleotides. The record is from the annotation of a RefSeq genome assembly. Lineage: Eukaryota; Metazoa; Chordata; Actinopteri; Siluriformes; Ariidae.
CUGAAUCAAAGAGCUUGAUGAUGGGGUUAAGGGUCACUCAGUACUGCAUCUUUGUUCUCAUGUUAACACAAGGUGUCCGCAGUGAUGAGAUCAGACUGGACCAGUCUCCUGCUGUGGUCAAGAGACCUGGAGAGCCUGUGAAGAUCUCUUGUAAGAUAAAUGGCUUUGAUAUGACUGACAACUACAUGCACUGGAUACGACAGAAACCAGGGAAAGCUCUGGAAUGGAUUGGGAGGAUGAAUACAGGCAGUAAUGAAGCAACAUAUGCAGAGUCUGUGAAGAACCAGUUCACCAUGACAGAAGACGUCCCAGCAAGCACACAGUAUUUAGAGGCCAAGAGUCUGAGGACAGAGGACACUGCGAUUUAUUACUGUGCCCGAGAAGCCACAGUGACUGGAGCUGAGGAAGCAGCUGUACAAAAACCAGAUACAUAUUGUAACUGA